AUAUUGGACAAUGGGGGCAACCCUGAUCCAGCCAUGCCGCGUGUGUGAAGAAGGUCUUCGGAUUGUAAAGCAGUUUAAGAUGGGAGGAAGGGCUUUAGGUUAAUACCGUGAAGUUUUGACGUUACGCACAGAAUAAGCACCGGCUAACGCUGUGCCAUCAGCCGCGGUAAUAAAGAGAGUGCAAGCGUUAAUCGGAAUUACUGGGCGUAAAGCGCGCGUAGGUGGUUCAGUAAGAUGGGUGUGAAAUCCCCGGGCUUAACCUGGGAACUGCUUUCAUAACUGCUGAGCUAGAGUACGGUAGAGGGUAGUGGAAUUUCCUGUGUAGCGGUGAAAUGCGUAGAUAUAGGAAGGAACACCAGUGGCGAAGGCGACUACCUGGACUGAUACUGACACUGAGGUGCGAAAGCGUGGGGAGCAAAC
Molecule: ribosomal RNA, 420 nt
Filed under: uncultured bacterium
Lineage: Bacteria
Description: partial 16S ribosomal RNA
Rfam family: Bacterial small subunit ribosomal RNA
Source: RNAcentral